RNAcentral lists this ribosomal RNA (460 nucleotides) under uncultured bacterium. RNAcentral's name for it is "SSU rRNA". It matches the Rfam family "Bacterial small subunit ribosomal RNA", at positions 26 to 518 of the family's 1533-position model. The record is from RNAcentral.
AGAAUCAACGCUGGCGGCGUGCCUAACACAUGCAAGUCGAACGAGAAAGUGGAGCAAUCCAUUAGUAAAGUGGCGCACGGGUGAGUAACACGUGACUAACCUACCUUUUAGUGGGGGAUAACCUAGGGAAACCUGGGCUAAUACCGCAUAAUACCUACGGGUCAAAGCAGCAAUGCGCUUGGAGAGGAGUUCGCGGCCGAUUAGCUAGUUGGCGGGGUAAUGGCCCACCAAGGCGAUGAUCGGUAUCCGGCCUGAGAGGGCGCACGGACACACUGGAACUGAAACACGGUCCAGACUCCUACGGGAGGCAGCAGUGGGAAAUUUUGCGCAAUGGGGGAAACCCUGACGCAGCAACGCCGCGUGGAGGAUGAAAUCCCUUGGGAUGUAAACUCCUUUCGAUAGGGAAGAUAAUGACGGUACCUAUAGAAGAAGCCCCGGCUAACUUCGUGCCAGCAGCCGA